AUAAAUUUUCAGUUAUAAACAAAAAAAAAUUAUUUGAAAAAAAAGGAAUUUGAUGGAAAAAUUAUAUCCUCUGAAAUAUUGAUCAAAGUGUAUGAAAAUUAUAUUUAUUGUAAAUGUAAAUAUAGAAGCAUUUCGAAAUAAUAAGGAACAAAGUUAACCUUAUUUUGAAAAAGUGGUUUUAAAAAAAUUUUCAAUUUUUUAAUUCUUAUUAAGUCAAGUGAGUUUAAAAAACUUUUCAACGGUUUCUACAAUAUACGUAGGUCCAAUUUCGUUCAUCUACUGAUUUGUCAUAAUAAUGGCGUCACAAAAGAGAAUACCAGAACAUAGAAACGAGGGUGCAACAUUUCCAGACAUUGUACGUUAUGUGAUGGAUCAUUCGCGGAUUACAGAAGACAAGGCAAAAUUCUUGAUUAUUGAAGUGCUUAAAGCAGGAAUGGCAAUGAAAAAAAUUAAGAAAACACCUACUGGUAUUUAUUAUUUGACGAAUUUAAAACCACCUCAGCUUAUUUUUAAAAUUCGUGAACCACGAUUCAGUGACGACAGUGAUGAUACA
This is a long non-coding RNA of Leptopilina boulardi, 553 nucleotides long. RefSeq lists it as uncharacterized. Lineage: Eukaryota; Metazoa; Arthropoda; Insecta; Hymenoptera; Figitidae. The transcript is spliced from 4 exons. The record is from RefSeq and is a predicted model, not a curated record.